AUUGAACGCUGGCGGCAGGCCUAACACAUGCAAGUCGAGCGAGCGGCGGACGGGUGAGUAAUGUCUGGGAAACUGCCUGAUGGAGGGGGAUAACUACUGGAAAAGGUAGCUAAUACCGCAUACCCUCAGAUGUGCCCAGAUGGGACUAGCUAGUAGGUGUGGUAACGGCUCACCUAGGCGACGAUGCCUAGCUGGUCUGAGAGGAUGACCAGCCACACUGGAACUGAGACACGGUCCAGACUCCUACGGGAGGCAGCAGUGGGGAAUAUUGCGCAAUGGGCGAAAGCCUGAUGCAGCGAUGCCGCGUGUGUGAAGAAGGCCUUCGGGUUGUAAAGCACUUUCAGCGGGGAGGCGUUACCCGCAGAAGAAGCACCGGCUAACUCCGUGCCAGCAGCCGCGGUAAUAC
This 406-nucleotide ribosomal RNA is filed under the name uncultured bacterium. RNAcentral describes it as "partial 16S ribosomal RNA". It matches the Rfam family "Bacterial small subunit ribosomal RNA", at positions 30 to 526 of the family's 1533-position model. The record is from RNAcentral.